UCAGGUCAUAUCCUUUUUCUUUUUCCUUUUUUUUAAUAAAUAAUAAAUAAAUAAAAAUCCAAACAUGGCCAAUCUCAAUGUGACAUGUGACCCUGCCAUUUGAAAGUAAAAGAAACAUUAUCCUCUUCUUCUGUUUCUUCACACGAAAUCCAUGAAGAGAAACAACUUAACUUAUUCUUUUUUUCUAAAAAAAAAAACCAAGAUUCUUAUCUAACAAAAACAUAUUUAAAAUAUAAAUAGAAUAAAAAAAGGUGCCAACAAGACAAGAAACGAGAGAAAGAGAGAAAAAGUGAACCGAGAGAUGACGGACAAUGUUCAGAUUCGUUUUUGAUGGUGGAUUUUGUGGUACACGGUUGUGUUUCGAGGUGUGGUGACGUGAGAAUCCGGCACGAUGAAGAAUGGUGGAAGGUGCAGGUCAUAGAGCGGAUUGGAGGUGUUGAGUUUGUGUUGAUAGAUUGAAGAUGGAGAUAUUAUUUUUAUAUUGUGUUGUUGGUUGGUGAUUGAAGAAGUGGAAAAAAAUAGAUUUUUUUUUAGAUUAAAGUUUCUUUUGUGGUGAUGAUAAUGAGAUUUGGAAGAGAUAUUAUGUGUUGGACGGUUUAGGAAUAGUAGAGA
RNAcentral lists this long non-coding RNA (612 nucleotides) under Lathyrus oleraceus (garden pea). Its description in RNAcentral is "Pisum sativum (pea) long non-coding RNA (PSAT_LNC025960)". Lineage: Eukaryota; Viridiplantae; Streptophyta; Magnoliopsida; Fabales; Fabaceae. The record is from RNAcentral.